Molecule: long non-coding RNA, 4793 nt
Organism: Pristis pectinata (smalltooth sawfish)
Lineage: Eukaryota; Metazoa; Chordata; Chondrichthyes; Rhinopristiformes; Pristidae
Exons: 4
Source: RefSeq, a predicted model, not a curated record
CACAAUCCCCAACGUAACUGCUGCUUGUAGUGAAUGUUCCUCAGACGGUCCGUCUGGGCUGAUGUAACUCAUUGGGUUUGACUGACUCAACCAGCUCCUCAUCCUUACAGAAUGGGGCUGGAGAAAAUAUAAUGAAGGUGUUUUGAAGGAGGUGGAUGCAGGGACUGUGGAUCCACAGGAUGUCAUCCUUCUAAACUGCACAGAUUCCAGCACUGUUCCCACCGAUCAGAAUCGAACGAUUGUUACCCCACUACUUAUGGUUGGAGAGAGAAAGGGAGCUGGAAGGUUGGUCCAGUUGGUCUGACAUCAGCAUUGGACCAAAUAUUCCGGUGAACCCACUGCGUUAAAGGGAGAGUGGGAACCAGGGUCUGCUGGGUCUAAGGGGAGCACCAGUUUGACCCAAAUUGAUUCCAGUUCUACGUUAUGAUCUGUCAGGCCGAAGACAUUUCUCUAUCUUACCCACGGUGGAACAUCGUCCUCUGAUCGAGUCACAGAUUUACAGCAUCGAAACAGGCUCUUCAGUUCCCAAGUCCUCACCGACCCACAAGCACCUUCUUCCUUGUCACCUCUCCUUCCCAAAUGUCAGAUCCCUGGAAUAUUUACUUCCCAGGCUCGGUUACUCUGCAGCCACGAGUGAGAAGGGAAUGACGUUGAACACAUGCAUCCUGACAUAUCCGUGGGUUGACCUUGCUGUGGUUGCCGUGUGCACUCAGGUACGGCACCACUACCUUUGCUGUUUUAACAUCCUGUACUCUCAACCUCUUGAAGUUUACUUUGCUAUGCAUUUCACUUCCUAGGUAUGAUAAGAUAUCUUUAUUAGUCACACGUACAUCGAAACACGCAGUGAAAUGCAUCUUUUGCAUAGUGAUUUGGGGGGCAGCCUGCAAGUGUCGCCACGCUUCCGGCGCCAACAUAGCAUGCCCACAACUUCCUAACCUGUACGUCUUUGGAAUGUGGGAGGAAACCGGAGCACCCGGAGGAAACCCACGCAGGCACGGGGAGAACAUACAAUCUCCUUACAGACAGUGGCAGGAACUGAACCUGGGUAGCUGGCGCUGUAAUAGUGUUAUGCUAACCGCUACACUACCAUGCCUGCUCAUUGACUUCCCGCUUUGACUCUCUCCUUCCUGAAUUUCCUUUGAGGUUACUAUCUCCCUGCCCAGCUGGUUUAAACCCCCCCCCCCCCCCCCAGUAAACUCCAGCACACUCCCUGCAAGGAUAUUGGUCCAGGCACAGUUUGGCUCAGCCUAUCUGAUUCAUACUCUUCCAACCUGCCUCAGAACAAUCCCAAAGUCUCAGAAAUCUAAAGCCCUCCCAACAACAUUCAUCUGCUCUAACCAAACUGCUGCAGGAACUCAGCUGGUCGAGCAGCAUCUGUGGAGGCAGAGGGAUGGUCAACACUUCAAUGCAUCAGGACUGAGAGCGCAGAGAGGAUAAAGAACAUAGAACAUGGAACAGUACAGCACAGAACAGGCCCUUCAGCCCACAAUGUUGUGCCAACAUAGCUAUUCCCUCCUACCUACAGAGUGUCCAUAUCCCUCCAUUUUCCUCUCAUUCAUGUGCCCAUCCAAGCCCCUCUUAAAAGCCCCCAAUGAGUUUGCCUCCACCACCCUAUCAGACAACGCUUUCCAGGCAUCCAGGUGGCCAGAAUAAAGAGGAGAGAGGGAGGGCUCACAGAGAGAGUGGUUCCUGAGGAAAGCAGACGGCAGGGGAGAUGUGGCUGGCGGUGGGAUCUUGCUCGAGGGCAGAAAUAACGAAGGAUGAUGUGCUGGAUGUGGAGGGGUGAAAGGUGAGGACCAGGGGAACCCUCUCUGUCUGGGGGGAGGGGGAGAGAGCAGACGUGUGGGUAAAGGAGGAGAUGUGAGUGAGGGCUGUGGCAGAGCGGAGACACAUGCCCUGAAGGAAGACCCACCAAAAGCCACGUCUUCCCCUCUCCUCCACUCCUGUGCAGCUGACUCAGGUGGUGCCUGGGUCUGACUGCACGCUCCCAAGGAGCCACCAGCUGACAAGAUGGGCAUAAGUGUGGGAGUGAGGUGGUCCAGAGCACUCCUGCUCCCUGGUCCGUCUGUGGUCAGCCAUGUCCUCUCUGCUCAUCGUCCUGAGGCUGGGGGCUUCACCACCUUAAUCUGAGGUUCUCCGUCUCACCCAGACAUCCUCCCUCCGGGCACCACUACAGCUCUCAAACACGCAGCUCAACGUGCUGCAGCUAAAGUCACCUCCUGUGCACGUGGCUGCCUGGGAGCUGCAGGUAUCCCUGCACUGCCACAUGGUGCAGGGGAUGCAGCUCACUCACCCAGCCAUCCCACCACACCUCACCCUCAGCCCGACCUCCGACACUGUCUGUGUGGAGUUUGCACGUUCUCCCUGUGACCGCAUGGGUUUCCCCGGGGUGCUCCGGUUUCCUCCCACAUCCCAAAGACGUGCGGGUCGCUGGGUUAAUCGUCCACUGUAAAUUGUCCCCAGUGUAUGGGUGAAGGGUAGAAUCUGGGGGGAGUUGGUGGGGGGAGAAUAAUAUGGGAUCAGAGUAGGUUUGGUGUAAAGGGGUGGGUGAUGGUCGGCAUGGACUUGAUGGGCCAAAGGGCCUGUUUCCCUGCUGUGUGAUUUAUGAUGUCAUACUGCAUCGAUGUAUAGGGGGAUCUUGGGGUGCAAAUCCACAGCUCCCUGAAAGUGGAAACAUGCAGACGGGGGGUAAGGAAGGCGUACGGCACGCUUGUCUUCAUCGGUUGGGGUGUUGAGUGUAAAAGUCAGGAAAUCAUAUUGCAGCUGUAUAAAACUUUAGUCAGGCUACAUCUGGAGUACUGUGUGCAGUUCUGGUCGCCCCGUUACAAGAAGGGUGUGGAGGCUUUGGAGACGGUGCAGAGGAGGUUCACCAGGAUGCUGCCUUGAUUAGAGGGUAUGAGUUAUAAGGAGGUUGGACAAACUUGGGUUGUUUUCUCUGGAGCGGUGGAGGCUGAGGGGAGACCUGAUAGAGGUUCAUCAAAUUAUGAGAGGCACAGAUAGUCUUUUUGCCAGGAUGGAAAUGUCAAAUACUAGAGGCCAGAGGUUUAAAGUGAGAGGGGAACGUUUAUAGGAGGUGCACGGGGCAGGUUUUUUACACAUAGUGUGGUGGGUGCCUGGAACGUGCUGCCAGGGGAGGUGGUGGAGGCAGAUUUGAUGAUGACAUUUUAGAGGCAGUCAGACAGAUACACGAACAGGCAGGGAAUGGAGGAUUUAGACCAAGUGGAGGCAGAUGUACAGGUUAAACUGGCAUCAAUGGUCGGCGCAGACACGUGGUCCUGAUGACCCAGUCCUAUCUUCUGUGUUCUGUAAAACAAUCUAUGUUGUGACACCCCCAUAGAUGCCACUCACUAAAGCUCCCUCACGCACCAAACUAGGACCCAGAUCCCUCUGUAUUGCAGGCCUGUGCAGUUUCCCAACAUAUAAAUCAUCUAUGAAUUUUAUUUUACUGCCAAAAUGAGCAAUUUGAUGGGUUUUUUUCCACAUUAUGCUCCAAUUAUCAGAGAGAUAGAAUAUAGAGUCAUAGAGUUAUAUGGAAACAGGCCCUUUGGCCCAACUCGUCUAUGCUGACCAAGUUGCUGACCUGAGCUGGUCCCAUUUGCCUGCAUUUGGCCCGUAUCACUCUGAACCUUUCCUAUCCAUGGACCUGCCUUUUCAAUGUGCUUCUCUCCCUGCGUCAGCCACUUCCUCUGGCUGAUGGGGAUGAAGGUUGACUCCUGGGGUAGUGAACUUGUCAUGUCUGAAGAGAUUAGAUAGACUGGGCCUGUCUUCUCCUGAGUUUGGGAGAAUGAGAGUGACCUCAUUGAAGUGUUGGUUGAUGUUGAUGUUUGGAUAUUGAUGUUGGGAUGUUGAUUUUGGGAUGAUAUUUCCCACGGAUGGGGUGUGUAGAACCAGGAGUCACUGUCUCAAAGUAAGUGGUUGCCCAUUCAGGACUGAGGUGAGAAGAAAUUUGUUCCAGCAGACCAUAGAACCAUAGAACAAUACAGCACAAUUCAGGCCCUUCUGCCCACCAUGUUGUGCCGCCCUUUAAACCACACCUAAGACUAUCUAACCCCUUCCUCCUACAUAUCCCUCUAUCUUAAAUUCCUCCAUAUGCUUAUCUAACAAUCUCUUGAACUUGACCAACGUAUCAGCCUCCACCACCACCCCAGGCAGCGCAUUCCAUGCACCAGCCACUCUCUGGGUGAAAAACCUCCCUCUGACGUCUCCCUUGAACUUCCCACCCAUUACCUUAAAGCCAUGUCCUCUUGUAUUGAGCAUUGGUGCCUUGGGAAAGAGGCGCUGGCUGUCCACUCUAUCUAUUCCUCUCAAUAUUUUGUACACCUCUAUCAUGUCUCCCCUCAUCCUCCUUCUCUCCAAUGAGUAAAGCCCUAGCUCCCUUAGUCUCUCCUCAUAAUCCAUACUCUCCAAUCCAGGCAGCGUCCUAGUAAAUCUCCUCUGCACCCUUUCCGACGCCUCCACAUCCUUCCUAUAAUGAGGUGACCAGAAUGUGGUGAAUCUCUGGAAUUCUCUGCCCUGGAGGGUGGUGGAGGUUCAGCCAUUGAGUUCAAUCAGAACAGUGGUCAUUAGGUUUGUGGAUCAGUGGAAAUGGGACAGGACAGGAAAGUGGAGCUGAGGUAGUGGAUUAGCCAUGAUGAUGAGGGGCCACCUAACUGUGCCCUCCUCACUGAUUGGUUAUUUAGUCAUUCCCUCCGCACUGAAUGGUGUACGGUGCCACGUUUCAUUGCUGCCAGCUUGUGUAGACAAGACAGCUUUCACUGGAAGCAGAUUAUCUGAAAUACUCCAGUGGCUUGGUG